CUUAUUCGAUCUAGCAGUCGAUCACGGAACGCUUAGGUGUGCGUUUAUAGCAUUAUUUUAACAUUAAAAUUGCAAAAGUGAUAGAGAAGUUAUUGUAUGUCGUGAUACACGUGGAUCCAAACAAAUUUUCCAAAAGAAUCGUACAUUAUAAUAUCUGUAUCAUUUAAAAAAAAAAAAAAUAAUAUAAAAAGAAUACUAAAAAUAUCGAAAACGUGAAAAUAAUAAUUUUUUUAUAAGCAUAGAGUAGUAUAUAAAUUGUAAGUUCAUACUUUUUUUUCGUUAUUCAUAAGAAUACAGUUACAUAGAAAACACGUUUCCUUCACCAGAAGAAAUAUGUCGUACUUCGAAAUGAAACUGGCUGUUUUUUUGCUCGUGUGUGGAAUUGUUUUCAGUCAAAGUGAUAAUAGAAAGAUCGAUAAUUCAGAAAGGAUCGUUUUCCCUGAACAUACUGACCAAGAUGCGAUCGGUAAUGUAAAAAGAUCCACAGUACCUUCGGAAUUAGAUGACAACUUAUUAAUGACUUCAUUAGAAAUUGCUCAAAAAAUAAAUUCGAUGUCAACGUACGAAGAAUUUCUCAAAUUUAUCAAUGUGCCUCCAGAAAAAAAAGUUCUAAUAGCUAGUAGAAUCGGAGGUGGCGGAGAAAAAUCGAACGCCGAACGACCAAAGCCAGCUGGUUGUAUACCGGAAAAUCAAACGGUAUCUUUGAGACCAGAAAAUAAAUUUUCAACAUUUUAUUAUCCUUCUUGUACAAGAGUUAAAAGAUGCGGUGGAUGUUGUGGACAUUAUCUACUCAGUUGUCAACCAAUUGAAACUGAAACUCGAAAUUUUGAGGUAAUAGUUUCGGAACUCAAUGCGGAUUCAACAGUGUCAUAUAAGAAUAAAGAAAUUAUCCCGAUUGAGGAACACACGAAAUGCAAAUGUGAUUGCAAAAUUAAGGCACAGCAUUGCAACAAGAAACAAGCCUACAGAAGAAACGAAUGUAGCUGCGUUUGUAUGAACAUCGACGAAGAAAACAAAUGCAAGGCAAAUAAAGCCGUUAAAAUCUGGGACAGUGAAACCUGUACGUGUGCUUGCAGAGAGAAUGAAAUAUGUUCAACAGGCUUUUAUUUCGACAACAAUACGUGCAGGUGUGAACAUCAAAAUUAAAAGGAAACUGUACUAAAAGGAAAAAUUCUACACUAUUAAACGUCUAUUCUUCUCUCUAUUAUUAUCUUGUGUCGACAAGUUCCAAUAUUAUCAAGGUUUGGUGAUAUAUCGAGAAAGUCCGGAUACAGGUUCGACCAAACUGAAAGGCCUGAGAG
RNAcentral lists this unclassified non-coding RNA (1301 nucleotides) under Polistes dominula (European paper wasp). RNAcentral's name for it is "vascular endothelial growth factor C, transcript variant X2". The record is from RNAcentral. Lineage: Eukaryota; Metazoa; Arthropoda; Insecta; Hymenoptera; Vespidae.